UUACUCAUAAACGAAUGUAAUGGAAUGUAUAUAUCAAGGCCUCUGUGCCUAUAAUAAUUUUAUACAACUUUCAGCAACGGAUCUCUUGGCUCUCGCAUCGAUGAAGAACGCAGCGAAAUGCGAUAAGUAAUGUGAAUUGCAGAAUUCAGUGAAUCAUCGAAU
This 162-nucleotide ribosomal RNA is filed under the name Leucoagaricus rubrobrunneus. RNAcentral describes it as "5.8S ribosomal RNA". The stretch from base 66 to 162 matches the Rfam family "5.8S ribosomal RNA", at positions 1 to 97 of the family's 154-position model. Rfam says of the family: 5.8S ribosomal RNA (5.8S rRNA) is a component of the large subunit of the eukaryotic ribosome. It is transcribed by RNA polymerase I as part of the 45S precursor that also contains 18S and 28S rRNA. Lineage: Eukaryota; Fungi; Basidiomycota; Agaricomycetes; Agaricales; Agaricaceae. The record is from RNAcentral.